RNAcentral lists this ribosomal RNA (1878 nucleotides) under Triticum aestivum (bread wheat). Its description in RNAcentral is "partial small subunit ribosomal RNA". The record is from RNAcentral. Lineage: Eukaryota; Viridiplantae; Streptophyta; Magnoliopsida; Poales; Poaceae.
AUGUCGGCCAUAGAUCAGGACGGUGACAUUGUGCCGCCGCCGCCGCCGCCGCCGCCGCCGCCGGGGAAGGCCGCGGAGACUCGGAUCGUGAAGAUGGACGGGCGGCACAAGUACGUCCAGUGGUUGCUGGCGGUGUGGGAUAAACAGCCUGGCCGUCCGUUGCCGGACCUCCCCGAUGACUACCUGGGUGACAUGCACGACGACAGCGAGCCCACCAGGCCCUCCCCGGAUCACGCCCUACACCGCAACCUGGUCCUCGGCUCCUCCUGUGGGUGGCUCGCCACCGCCGACGACCGCGGCAAGAUCGACCUCGUUAACCCGGCCACGGGCGAGCAUCAUGCGCUCCCGCACAUCGCCACAACGGGCGUCUUCGUUCCCUCAACCGGCGACCGCUUCUUCUGUGUCCAGCUCGACCGCUUCCUGACUGCCCGUUACGGCCACGGGCCGCCGUUCAAGGACAGCCCCUGGGGGCCGCACGGGUUGGCGACGUUCACGCUCAGAGCCAAAGAGAUGCGCGCCUACUUCUACCAGAAGGUGGUCCUCUCAACGUCCCCGUGUCCCGGCAGCUACGCCGCCAUGCUGAUCCUGCAUCGAGAUUUCGGCGCCCCCGCCUUCGUCACGGCGGAGGAACCUGCCUGGAGGCUGGCGCCGUCGCGUGACGGCGUCGAGGACGCUAUCCACCAAGACGGCAAGUUCUACUCCAUAUCCUACUCGGGCGACGUCGAGUCAUGGGAACGUGACGCCGAGUCCGGUGCGUUCACGAGCACCACUGCCGCGCCAAGGCUGGUCAUCCAAGACAAAGCACAAGCCAGCUCAUCGUCAUGCCGCAAGUAUCUGGCAGCGGCGCCUGGAGGGGAGCUGAUGGUGGUGCUCAAGUACCCAGAGAGGUGUGCGUGCUAUGUCCUCGAGGAUGACGGGCAGUGGAAGGAGACUAGGGACAUCUCCGACAUCCCGCAGUUUGUUGGGAGAUGCAGAUCAAGGAGGUCGGCAGAUGGGAUGAGGUUGGGUGAGGUGCACGAGGACAAAGGUGCAGCGCUCGCCCAAUACAAGUGCCACGGUUACACCCAUGUCGAGGUCCAUGUCGACUACGACGACGAACAGCCCUACCUCAAGGAAGAGGCCAUAUUGAUCUCGACUGAGAGCAAGGCCACCAUGCCCGAUGACCUCCGUGUCCCCAACCCCGUCCUGGCAGUCGUGCGUGAGCCCACCAUGCCCGCCCCUGCCGACGACCGUGCCCAGAUCUACCUCAUUAACCCGGCCACAGGCGAGCAGCACGCACUCCCGCAUAUCGCUACCAUUGGAGUCCUCCUGCCCUGCGCAGGUGACUGCUUCUGCUUAAAGAUUGACCGCCUCUUGACUGCUCGGUUUGGCUGUGGGCCGCCGUUUAAAGACCACUGUUGGGGGCGGGACGGGAUGGGGACGCUCACACUCAGUGCCCACCAGAUGCGCACUGGGUUCUACCGGAAGGUGGUCCUCUCAGCAUCUCCGCGCCCCGGCAACUACACCGCCAUGCUAACCCCGCACCGAAUUUUCGGUGCCCCGGCCUUCGCCACCGCGGAGGACCCUACCUGGAGGUUGGCACCAUCGCGUGAGGGCAUCGAGGAUGCCAUCCACCAUCAUGGGCACUUCUACUCCAUCUCUUACUCGGGUGUCGUGGAGUUGUGGGAACAUGACGCGGAGUCUGGUGCGUUCAUGAGCACGGCCGUCGCGCCAAGGCUGGACAUUGAAGGCAGCCUGUCAUCCUGUCGCAAGUAUCUCGGGGCGACGCCAAGAGGGCGGCUGAUGGUGGUGCACAAGUACAGAGAGGCCUUGAGGGUGCAUGUCCUCGGCGCAGACCAGCAGUGGAAGGAGAUUAGGGACAUCAGUGAGAUAGACUAG